Molecule: ribosomal RNA, 334 nt
Filed under: uncultured bacterium
Lineage: Bacteria
Description: partial 16S ribosomal RNA
Rfam family: Bacterial small subunit ribosomal RNA
Source: RNAcentral
CCUACGGGAGGCAGCAGUGAGGAAUAUUGGUCAAUGGACGCGAGCCUGAACCAGCCAAGUAGCGUGAAGGAUGACGGCCCUACGGGUGGUAAACUUCUUUUAUAAAGGAAUAAAGUGAGGCAAGUGGGCCGUUUUGUAUGGACUUUAUGAAUAAGGAUCGGCUAACUCCGUGCCAGCAGCCGCGGUAAUACGGAGGAUCCGAGCGUUAUCCGGAUUGAUUGGGGUUACAGGGAGCGUAGUGGGGUUGUUAAGGCAGUUGUGAAAGUUUGCGGCUCAACCGGAAAAUGGCAUUUGAUACUGGCAGUCUUGCGUACAGUUGCGGUAGGCGGAAUUC